GACGAACCGUGCGAACGUUGUUCGGAAUCACUGGGCUUAAAGGGCGCGUAGGCGGGUCGAAAAGUCCGUGGUGAAAUCCCCCCGCUCAACGGGGGAACGGCCGCGGAUACUGUCGGCCUCGAGGGGGGUAGGGGCGAGCGGAACGCUGGGUGGAGCGGUGAAAUGCGUUGAUAUCCAGCGGAACUCCGGUGGCGAAGGCGGCUCGCUGGGCCCUCUCUGACGCUGAGACGCGAAAGCGUGGGGAGCAAACAGG
RNAcentral lists this ribosomal RNA (253 nucleotides) under uncultured bacterium. RNAcentral describes it as "partial 16S ribosomal RNA". It matches the Rfam family "Bacterial small subunit ribosomal RNA", at positions 524 to 776 of the family's 1533-position model. The record is from RNAcentral.